UGGAAAAUGUUCGCGUCGCAAGUUCUGCGUUUUGCUCUCGCUUUCUCGAAAUCAAUUUUAAGUUAUGAUUAGUGAAGUUUUUCGGUUAAGUUACAAUGAAGAUUAAUUAAGAAAGGCUUUCUUUUCGGUUUAUCAUCUCUAAGCUUAGCUUUUGAAUUGCGUUCGGGCGUUUUCGAGUUUCGAUUUGUUGGGAUUUUUAGAAGCUGAAAAUUGAGUGCGCACAAGUGCUGAAGAUAGGCCCGCAGACAUGUUUUUAUUUCUAAUGAUUAUUCCGGCAAUUUUCACGAAUGACCUUUUUACUACUUAUGCGGAUUUUGUUGAAGUUUGCGGGCACGGAGUUGUUCAGUGAUAAGUGGAUUUUUGUAUUGCUUGAAUCUAGCUGAAAAUUAUGGUUAAGUAAAGUAGAGUUAAUUUUAGCUCGAAAAAGCGCUAGACUAGCAGGAAUAGAAAGGUUUAACAAAAGUUGCACAAAAGAUAUCGGUUCAGAAGUGUUUGUGUGUAACAAUGGGAAAAAUUGAACGUGUGUGAGUGCGAACGCGUUUACCUUUGCAUUUUGAUUGUCAGAAGAGGACAAACGCACAGGAUCAUCGAAAAGGAUAAUCGAAUAUCGUACACAAAUAGAGGGCUGCCAGAAGUGUAAAUCUCGGGGAAUUGCUUAGUAGGAAGUGUCUCGUCAGCUUGAGAAGCAUAUACUAGAUCGAGCAGAUCAAUCCCGAGGGGAAUUACAUUGGGACGGAUCUAACUGGGAGCCUGGCCUAGUGUAGUGAAAUUCAAAUGCCGGCACAAGGGAAAAUAAUCGUUUCGUGAGAAUGCUAGAGUCUCUUUAGUGCGCCCUAUAAACAAGCAGAAAGUUUGAAAAAGUGAAGAGCAAACAACGGUUUUGAUAGUUUGCAGUGUUUCGUGGCACAGAGCAGUAGCAGUGGAAAUCAAAUACUUGGGUGGGGAAAUGCUUUUUUUUGUCCAAAAUAGCCAAGACAAACCAACCGUACAAGAUGGAAAUCGUGUGUCUAUCAUCUCGUCAAAUUGAGGGUUUCUUUAUCGACUCGUGCAUAGAAGGAAAAGCAAUUUGAUCGAUUUCACGGAUUUACGCGGAAGAAAGUUUAUUGCCCGAAAAAUAUCUACCGUGUUUGUGUCCCAAGUUCGACCCAGGAGUAACGAAAUAUGGAAAUCGCAAUUGAGCCCAGUGGGGGAGGUGCCACAAUUGGCACUCUCUUUCAACAAAUAGUAAAUGAUAUGAAGAAUUCUAGUCCACUUUGGGAAGACUUUAUCGCAAAAGCUACUAAACUGCACACUUGUUUACGCGCUGUUAUACAAGCACUGGCGGCCUAUUUGGAAGCGUUUCAAAAAAUCGCCGAUGCAGCAACGAACUCCAAAGGUGCCACAAAAGAAAUUGGCACAGCCCUAACGAGGGUUUGCCUACGGCACAAGGCAGUCGAAACACGAAUGAAAACAUUCACGGCCGCCAUAAUGGAAUGCCUCAUAGUGCCGCUGCAGGAAAAACUAGAAGACUGGAGAAAGCAAGUGGCCAUUAUCGAUAAAGACCAUACCAAAGAAUACAAGCGAUGUCGGACGGAACUCAAAAAACGUUCUAGCGAUACGCUGCGAUUGCAAAAGAAGGCCAAAAAGGGUCAAACAGACAAUUUGCAUAUUUUGGUAGAAUCUUCCAUGCAGGACGUAACAUUGAGAAGGAGUGAACUGGAGGAGGUCGAAAGGAAAUCACUACGAGCCAUCAUGGUUGAAGAGCGCUCGCGAUAUUGCACCUUUGUAAAUAUGCUACAGCCUGUGGUACAUGAUGAAUGUGAAGUGAUGUCGGAACUCAGUCAUCUACAAGAAGCCAUGCAAAUAAUAGCGGUAGUAACGAAAGAUCCGAGUAUCCUGCCACAAGCAUCGGAAGAGCUUAUAUUAGAUGCGAAAACGAAUAUAACGCUGUACCCAGAUUCACCGGGUGGCUCAAACUCGCAAGGUGGUUGUUCGAAUUCACUAGGCUCACGUAAAAGUUCUGUGUGUUCAAUAAGCUCCAUUAAUAGUAGCAGCAGUGGAUCUCCCGGACACCAGUUCCAAAGAUCUCUGUCGCAGUAUUCUCCAGCGAUACGUUUAAAACCGGGUGAAUCUAGUGAUAGCGGAUUUUGUUCAUCGCCAGCAUUAACUUCGCAGGCGUCUACACUUGCCGGCCAAUCCCACGCAAUAUCAACUUGGCCACCCCAUACACAAGAUGGCACUGCCAGCACCGAUCGACCGCACACGAUAUCUUCGGCAUACGAAAAAGGACAUCAGAGACCCGCACUAACUGUUUACACCUUUCAAAAUCCAGAAACAAUAGCGGAGAACCAAAAAUCUCCUGCAAACAUAUCGUGUAGGCCUCCAUUACCUGUGAGAUGUUCUUCACUAGAAAGACCCCUAUCGACAGCGUCCAUAAAGAAUUCAGUAUCGAACGUCCCACGACAAUGCCCAUCGCCAAUACCUGCACAUAUUACCAAAGAGCACCCACAACUACAGCCCACCUACGUCAAUAUGACAGAACUGGCAUCGAUGGCUGCCUCGAAAAUUACUAACAAUAAUAACAACAAUGCAACUAACCUGCCCCAAACAUCUGCUCAAACACCACCACUUCAACCACAGCUUAUGGGUUACCAGCAACUCCAGCAACCGAACUCACCGGCUCUUUCGUCCGCGUCAUCACUUAUUUCACCAGAUUCAAGUGCCACUAACGCAAUUAGCUCACCUGAUGUGUCCGCUUGCAGCACACAGACACCACAGAACACACCACAAACGGGUUCCCCACAAACUCCUGUGUACAGUUGCAGCUCCAUGAUUAUGGUUGAAUCAGGUGCUAUUAGUAGUAGCGGUGAAGGUGCAAGCGCAUCUAAUGGUAACGGAAGUGGACUUGUCCUCACCACCCUCGAUGGAACUGGAAGUGAAAGUAAUAAUGACUACAACCUUCAGUCGUCGUCUGCUACACAAGACUUCGAUAGUAACUCAUCUGAUCCAUCUAAUACUAACAAACCAUCUCCAUCCACCACAGAUAAAGAUAUCCUUAAAUGUUCCGGUUCAGUUUUAGAGAAAACAUCGAUGUUCGAGCAACAAAUCAAUAAUCAACAACAUCAACCUCCACGCAAUGAGAACAUAUAUGGUCGCAAAAGUGAAGAAAUCUACAGACCGACUGGUAUUUUAACACCACAACGUGAAUCAGAUCGGAUCGACAAAGAGACAAUUGAAGAACUGAACAAUCUCAUUGGUGAACUCGAUCUUUUCCAAAAAGAACACGAAUUUCGUCUCGAAGAAAGCUACCAGGACCAGAAUGUUUUGCUGGAAAACAGUAUCAACAGCUCCACAAACAUCGCCAAUGGAAAUUUUUCAUCAAACAAUAGCGACUCUGCUGGCAGUGAACGACAGGAUAAAAUUUCUAUCUCUAGUUCCAUGAACAUCGAUGGUCUUAACCUUUCGCUGAACAGCAACAGUGUCAAUAGCGAGCAUCCCUUCGAGUACAGCGAUAGUAGCACCACUAAACUCAAUAUGAAUGACCACUUGAUGAACACAGACUCGAUAGACUAUUCGCAUGCAGGCUUCGAGAAUCCAUCGUUCAUGCAUUUGAACGAUUCUGAAAUUAUUGUGGUCCGUCCAAACAACUUCGGUAACGUAGAUAUGGAGAACUAUAGCAAAAAUAUGAGUGAAGUUGUCGUUUUACGCUGCAAAGACGGUGCUAAGGUUGAUUCCAAUAAAAUUGAAGAAACUAUCAAUUCAGAAAAUCAACAACGGUUAAGCUCGUUCAAGCUAAAUUCGAGAUGCGCUUCACCAGCAUUGUCAACAUUCGCAUCCCGAUCACCAACACCGUCGUUUUCGAUGCCACAUUCUAGUGCUACUACACCUACGAUGCCGUCACCUCAACAUAGUAAUGCGUUUGGUGGAAACAACAAUAACCACAUGAUUAGUCAUCAUCAUCUGCAGCAUCCUUUGAACGGUAACGAGAAAUGCUCGUUGAUCUCAAUGCCUUCUGAUGAGCGUAUUAAUAGAAUUAAGCCUGCAAUCACGCCGCGACCUGCAUCAUUAUCUGGAGUAGCAAGAGUUACCAGACGAUCAUCUGUAAAUACUAUUAAACCACCUCCUCCUGUUCGGCGAAGUUCGAGCGUUACUCCUAGUCCCAAUCUGGUAACGAAUGCUAGUAACUUAUCGCAACAAAGCUUGGUUUACACAUCAUCGGAAAGUUUACCACCACCUCCUGCCUACCUGUUGGAUAGUACUGCUGGAAAUACUUUAAUUCCAGGAAAUGUAGCGGGUACUGUAAAGGCAUUAAACGAAAUCCAGCAUAAACCGGCUAGUCCAAGUCUGUUAAGGCGUGCUCAGCAAAAUAUGCCAUCACAACACCAAUCUCCGUCGCAUUAUGCAUCUAAUGCUCAAAUUGCCACGCCAAAGCAUGAUUCACACACGCCUUAUUCUACUCAAUCGCCGACGGGUUCCUUUUAUUCUGCUGAAGAUAGUCCCCCUAUGACUCGUGGAGCGAAAACAUCUCCUCACCAACAGGGCAUUUACGCACAACCUAAACAAAUUACGAAUAUGUCCAGUUUCAGAACGAGUAGUCCUGGUCCACAGAAACAAAAUAGUGAAUUCCUAGCUCAAUUGAACGCAAAAAUUGCACCGAGCAAACCGCAAUCUCAUUCCUCUCCUCACCAUUAUUCACAACAGCAACAUCAGCAGUCAUUCACGUAUACCACUGCUCCGUCAAACGAACAAAUUUAUCAGAGAAGUAAUCUGGUAGAUCAACGUUCUUCCUAUACCAACAACAAUAGUGGCAAUGAACGGCAUCAAGCAUCUUCCCAUGGUGGUGGCAUCUAUGCGUCCAGUAGUCAGCAAAUCACCGCCAAUAAUCAUCAACAACUUCAGCAACACCAACAGUACUAUCAUCAGCAGCAACAAGGCUCAGCGCAUAGUCAAAAAGACGGUAAAAAUCAAAUUUACUCUCCCACUCAUUCCCAACAACAGCAGCAAUACUACCACCAACAACAGCAGCAGCAUCAACAUCAGCAGCAACAGGCUCCAGCUGUGCCAUGUUACUAUCAAGCGCAGCCCCCGCAGAACUACGCAGCGCAAAACAUUUACAUUUCAACGAAUCCUUUCGCUACUGGCAGUUCGGUACACGCUGCUGCCAGCAGUAGUAAUAGUAGUAGUUAUUCGCCAUCAUCGUUCGGCAAAUCCGUAGCGCCGCCGCGAGAAAUGUCUCUGCCCGCUGCCUCUGCUAGUUCAAACUCUAGUAAUCCAGGGGGUAGUAGUAAUCUUACUACCGGUCAAAGCAAUUCUCACCACGGUGGUUCCAACAGUCGAUCAAAUCACCAAACACGCAGCAGCAAUGCGGGUAAUGCCAACAACGUACUUGCCAAAACUAGUGCUGGAUUUUUAGAGAAUCUCAAUGCCCGAUUAGCUGAACAAAGAUUAUCCGGUAAAGCAUUUGCUGUAAGGAAUCUCAUCAACAGCAAAGCCCUGGCUAACGAGCAUUGCCAUAAGUACUUCCAGAAUGUUUGAUAUAUGGAUGAGCAUUGUCAAUUAUUAAGUUAGAGCGUGAACGAUUCUUUUUCGAUAACUUUAGGUCCGUCGAAGCCUGAUCCACGUUUAUGCCAUGAAUCACUGAUGGAUCAAAUCAAACGAGGCGCCACCCUGAAACGAAAUCGAACCAUCAACGACCGAAGUGCACCGAAAAUUCAUUAACUGUCGAAGCCGUCUUCAAAUUACUUGCAGGUGUAGCGUGUGUGUUUCUCUGUAGGCAACUUAAUUCCGGUUCCUGAAAGUAUCAAGCUUAUACAUUUAACCAAUAACAUCAGCAUCAGUGCAUAUAUACAUAUACUUUACAUAUAUACAGGAAGGAGUGGAUAACAAAACACAUCCAAUGUGAUUCUAUGGGUAUGAGAGUGAUCUGAACAGAGUGAAUGAAUCGUGGCUCCUAGGGCAAAAAGCAGCUUCCUUUAAAUUUAACAAUGGCGAACUUUUAUCAGCUGGUAUGAACAGUAUGGUUUUCCAAUGUUUUCCCUUAUUCAAAUGUUAUUUACAAAAAUUGGACUUUAUUAUUCGCUAGUCGAAGUUGAAAUAAGACUAAAAAAUAAUCAAAAUAUAACUCGAGUUUAAUUUACUAAAAUAUUUAAUAAAUAACCGCUUCUGUAGCAGUAGUUUGAAGUCUUCUCUCGGGAAAAAAUUGUUAUCCUGGAAAUUCAAAUAAAGUAAAUUCUAAUGCCGGUGAUAAUUUUUUUUAGCUUAGAAAGAUUACCAUACAUCAACAUCAUUGAAAGUAAUAAUUAUAAACUGUUUAUUUAUGACUCUCAUUCAUGAUGGUUCUUUUGUUUCGAAAGAAUGAAAAAGAUUGUAGAAUUCCAUUUGAUACAUAGUAUUUUUGCCCAGGGUGACAAUUUUUGUACGUUUCCAUCGAACUGAGUGAAGACUUAACAUAAUACUAAACAAUUAUGUAAUGCAAAAAAAAAUCCCGGCUUAGUAAACCCAUUAUAUUUCUCUGUCUGCAUCUGCAUCACAAUUACGGUUUUACCCGAUCUAUCACAAUUUUCUCAUUUUCGUACAGCUAGUGCAUUUGAGAGCACGCCUUUUGGGCUCACGACAGAGCAUCAGUUUUAGAGUAGCUAUGAAUCAUGUACUCAAGAAAUUAUACCAAAGCAAAUAUUAAUCAUUUACAAAACACACUUUUACAAACAUUUUACUUUAAAAUACUAUACUUACAUCAAUUGGUUGUUGCUUCAAAACAUCUACAAGAGAAUCGACUAAAAUAUCAUUUUCCUGGAAUAACGCAAAGCACUGAGAAAAAUAUAUCUCCUUUAGGAGCUGUUUUAAUAUCUUUCAACAAAGAAAUCGCAACCAAUAUAUCAAUUAUCAUACAUGGUACUGAUGUUAUUAUACACAAAAACAGCUGAUAUCUACCUAUAUACAUAAUAUAUAAAUUGAUUAAACUGCAGGUUUACACGUUAUUAUUGAAUAAAACGGUAGUAAUAUUUGACAUCGACAAAUACGGAAGGUCAAGUUAAUGCAUUGUAUGUCGUCCAUUUAAAAUUAGACAACGUAUUACUAAGCAGUAUGUAGAACGCUCAAUCGAAAAUAAAACAUGUAACAAAUUCCCUAUUUUCGCCCUUAUACAUAGAAAAGGGAUUUGAAAGGCUGAUUUUAACAACAUUCUAUAGAAAUUUACCAAGUGCUGUAUAGAACAAAUGUAAUCCUGUCUAUUAAAUCUUGAACCACCAUUCUCUUGAGCACAAACCAUAUACUUAUCAAUUUUUCAAGCAACAUUCAUCAGCCUGUAGGAUCUUUAGCUGAUACCAAAUUAUUCUUUUAAAAUAUCUAUUUGAUGAAAAGGAAAAUCACAGCUUUUCUUUUUGUUCUACGGUACCAGUGAAGUUUUAUCGGAAGAGGCUAAACUGAUCAGCACAUAUUUUUAUUUUGAUAACAAGUAUUUAUUUAAUUUAUUAUCGAAAUAUGACAAACUUGCAAAAACAAAUACUAGACGCAAUUCUUUUUUAAAUUCUUUUUAAACUGCGCGUGUGAACUCUUGUAUAUACUCCAUUCAAAGUUAAAUUAAAUUAGUUUGUAACUUAUUUGAUCACAUUCGGUAUAACACACAACCUCGAAUCUAUAUCCUGCGACUAUUUACCGCGAUCCAGGCAUUUCGAUUGCUUAUCUCUAUCGUUACAAUACUGUUGUAGAUCUCCAUGGACGUAAUGUAUUGUCCAUUACAUACGGAUGAUUGCGAAAUAGUGUAGUUCUCAAUCUAAAAAAAAAAAAACUACAAAUGAGAACAGAGAACGUGGAACAAUAAUUAAACUUUGCCGUGCCCGAAACUUCCUGCAUAUAAUAAAUAGCCUAUCAAAAUCACCGACGUAUUCUGCGCGCGAUUGUAGCAUAAAGUAUAUAUUUUUAUACAACGUAUACCGUAGAACAAGCAAGUGUUCCCGGGUAAAGUUACUGUAAUAACUAUGUGAAUUUGGUAACAUUUAAUUUAACAUUCAUUGUAACUCGUCAUGAAAUAUAUUGCUGUAAUCUAACAAAUAAAAAAUAAUAUUACUGACAGAA
Molecule: RNA transcript, 8052 nt
Organism: Uranotaenia lowii
Lineage: Eukaryota; Metazoa; Arthropoda; Insecta; Diptera; Culicidae
Gene: mim
Gene name: probable serine/threonine-protein kinase DDB_G0282963
Exons: 20
Source: RefSeq, a predicted model, not a curated record